GAAUGGGGGGUCAGCACCAAAUAACAAUGCCUGUCUCCACAGCAUGGGACCUGGGGUGCGUGCUGGGAGGCAGAAGGCCGCAGUUUGUAUUCUGACCCCAUGGUUUACAAGCGGCAUGACCUGGAGGAAACUUCCGAGCCUCAGCUGCCUCACCCCUGACAUGGAGAUCUCAUUGACGUCGACCCCAGAGCAGCAGUGUGGGACUGAGAUGACGUGUGCCUGGCCAGUAAAAUAAUGAGAAUAAUCUAUCUCGGAGAGCAAGCACCUGGAGGAUUAAAUGAGGCAACAUGAAGCACCCACACAGAGUAAUCACUCCAUACAGGAGGAUAGGAUUACUGUGGUUGACGCUAUUUUUAUUAUGAACCAGGUGGCUUUGGGCAAAUGGCAUAAUGUCUCUACACCCCAUUUCCCCGAUCUCCAAAAAUAACAAUAAAAGCUUCACAGAGGGGCUCUGGGCAUUCAAUGAGAUAAAACAUGUAGCAUGAGGGCGCCUGGCUGGCUCAGUCUGGAGAGCAUGUGACUCCUGUCCUCCCGGUCGGGAGUUCGAGCCCCACGUUGAGCGUAGAGAUUACCUCAACAAAUUAAUUAAUUAAUUAAAAUCAAAAUAAAACAUGGAGCCUGACCCUACAUAGGCAACAGCUAUUACAGGUCAACAGCAUUUCUACGAUCAUCAUCAUGAUUUGCGCCGGCCAGCAGAGCUUGUCUCCAAGCCAGAGGAGCAUCAUCAUGAAAAACAACAGCUACCACUAGUGAGCAUUUACGACCUGCCAGGCGCUGUGCAGAGCACGAACAUGUCACCGCUGAUCUGGGAGAAGAGCAUUACUGUGACUGCAGACACUGAGGCUCAGUGAGAAGCCAAUGGCGUAGGGAGCGGCCAGAAAAGCCACCAGCCUGCUUGUGUCUUGGGUCAUAUAUGGCGCUGCAGAUAGGAUGCUGGAAGUCAGAGACAUGGGUUCCUAGGCCACUCGAUACCCAGAAACGCCCCUCAUCUGUAAACUGGGAAUAAGGACAUCUGACUUCUAGGGUUGGUGGGACUUUGAGGUGAGAUUCCAGUGACCAGGGCCUGGCACUUAGCGAGGUCUUCAUAAGUGGUAGCCGGUGUGAUGUUUGAGGGCCUCCUCUGCACCAGCCUGCGUAGAAGCUGGAGACCCAUAGCUCAUGGCUUCACAGCGCCUGCUCCACCAGGACAAGCCAGGUUACGCUGCAGCAACAAACAACCAGUAGUUAGUCAACAAAAGCCGAGCUCAUACCCGUGCUGUGUGUCCAACGCAGGUGGGCAGGAGUCUCUAUUCACCCAGAUGCUCGGGUACAGCAGCUCGUGGCUCCUCCACUACAUGCACAUUUCCAAGAUCCCAGGCAAAGUGAGGAGUCCAGUGAGCCACAUAGUGGCUCAUAAAGCUUGGAUCACCAACAUUUUAGCAGCUACCGUAAAUCACAUGGUUAGGGCUAACCUCAAAGGGAAAUCUAACCUUAUCGUGCUACGAAGGGCGGGGCGGAGGACAACCGCUUGAAAGUCCCAUAAUCUAGGAGGGGAGGCAAAUAUGGACACAGCUACCCUGAUGGAGUUAUGUCCUCACUCUAAGCAUCGUGAACGCAGAGGAGCAAUUCUGUCAAGAGGUCCAGGGAGCCUACAUGGCAGGGGUGAGCAGCGGCCUGGUGCUUUGACCAGGGGAUGGUUCUGUCGCUGGAGCAAGGAUCCAGGGCCAGCUUUCCACGAUCCAGGAGCUGCCUGAAACAGUGCAAGAUCUUGUGUGUAGGUGGGUUUGUACAUUUUUCUGGGAAGAACUUCUUAACUUCCAUCAUUGAAGACCAAAGAGCAGCAGACGACAUCUGUGCCCUUCUCCUGACAUCAGUCUUUCUAUUACAGCGCAACUUCAAAUGCAAUGUUCAAACCAGCAGCUGCCCACAGCCUGGGAAGCUGUAAAGAAUGCAGAGUCCCAGGACCAGCCCUGACCAACUAAGCUAGACCGUCUGGGGGCUGGACCAGGCAAUCUGGGUUGUAACAAGUUCUCCGGAACUGGGGGAUGAAGCUGUGAGUGAAGCAUGGGGAGCGCUGCGGAGUGAACUCCACCACCUGUGGCCCGAUAACGCUUUACAGUGUCCGGAGGGCAGCAUGCACCCUACCUCGUGCCCUGCCGCCGGUUCCGCCAAAGAGCCAAGGAGAGCGCGCCAGGCUCCCCGACGGGCACAGAGGAAGUGUUCAGUGAAUGUCACUGAGAGAGAGAGACAGGACAGGAAAAGUGAGCAGAGAAGGAAAGAAUAGCCUAAAAAUAGGCACUCUGGAAUCAGACAGCCCUGGGUUCAAAUCUCAGCCCGGCCAGUUAGCAGUGGUGUGUAGGGGGAGGGUAUCUCAGACAGGAUCCCUCCCCUCUCUGGGCCCACCUUCUCCAUCUGACCCCCCUGGGGAAGACGGUCUCAGCUCCCUCACAGGACUGUGCACACAGCCCACUGCCCGGGCUCUCUAAAGGAACAGAAGAGAAUAACAAUUGUUUUACUAAUUCCCAUGCUCACUCUCAGUAACUCCCUUCCAGAGGUGAGCAGAGGGAAAACCCAAGGUGGUUCCACUCUAAGUGCCAGAGGCAAGAAUCAAGCCCAGGCACAGCGCAUAGGCCUCGUACCCUCAGUGCACAUAGGUUCACACUUGCACACACGCGCCCUCUUUGUCCUUGAUAAGCGCUGCUGAAGCCCCAUCUGACACAGGUAGGCAGAGCCCCAGGACUCAGGGUCAGUGGUCAAAUCAGUGUUUCCCAGCCUCAUCUGUGCUGAAGGAGAAUCUAGCAAAUGUGUUCAAUAGAGAAAUUCCUGGCCCCACCCUUGGCGGUUCUGAUUCUGCGGGUCUGUUUCAGGGCCCCAGAAACUGCAUGUUAACAUGUUCUUGGGGAUUCUGAUCCUCAGCCAGGUCCUUGAGACUUGCUCUGAAUUCCAGCUGUUUCAGAACAUGUAGGUCUGGAACAUCUGAUAAGGAGAUGGAGGUCUGACUCACACAGGACCCUGUACUCAGUCCUGAUACUGCCCCUCCCCCACCAUGAACCCUUUUCUCCCCAGGAAGCUACCUGCCCACCCAUCUCCACGAUGCCCUGUGCUACCGCUCCCUUUGUGUCUUGAAGCAGGGAGAAGGGGCAGCUGUAUUUUUAGGUGACUUGGAUGGGGGAAAGAGCACUGGACUGGGAGUCAGGAAACGCUUGCCCCACCACCUUCAGGCACUCAAAGCCUCCAGUCCUGCAUCCAUAUGUGGGGCUGACUCCCCUGACAGGAGGUCAGAGGUGGACGCUCAUCAGGGCCCCACACUGCACAGCAACCCUCCUGCAGCCUGCACCAAACUUGGUUUUCUCCUCUUGAAGUAAGGGCCCCAUAAAAUCCACCCUGGACCCUGGCUGAGAUAGUGGCUCCGAAAGUGCCAAAUGAGGGACAGACCCGGCAGCGGCUCUCGCCCAGGAAACUCAGCACCUUAGGAAGGGGAGAGAUAAGGCCUCCUCCGUUGCUGCUGGGGGAACACCCCCUCCUCUGCCGCUUGGAUUUCUCCACUCUCUCCCAGCCAGAGAUGUGCCUGGGAGUUUAUCAGCGGGGAAUGGCAGGGCCUGCUAAUCAGAGGCUGCCCUGGGCCAGGGGAUUAACUCUGCAGAGCGGAGCAGGCCAGGGUCAGGGGCCCCGGCUACCAGCUGUGCCCCAAGGGUUCUCCGCUUGUGUUGGGGAGGAGGGGGUUUCUGGGACCCUCAGGGAGGAACCCAGGGCAAGGCAACAGAUUAAGGCUAAAUGUUGCAUUUCACUGUCCUGCUUAGGACCCUCCAGGGGGCUUCCUCUCUACAUAGAAUAAACCCCCAAACCAUGCUAUGCCCACAAGGCCCUGCUGGCCUCUCGGCCCUCUCCCUGUGGGGCUCUCCAGCCCCACCUGCCUUCCUUCCCUGCUGGACAGCUGCCCCCAGGUGGUUCUCACUCUAGGGCUCUGGAACUGGCUCUUCCUGUGUCUGGGACCCCUCCUUUCCAGACUUCAAAAGACUGUCUUCUGGGUGUCUUCUCAAAUGGCACAUCCCGAAGAGGGCUCCCCCAGCUGCCUUCCUGCGGGAGCCCCUCCCACCCCACUGUCACACUGUCAUCGCUCUGGAUUUGUUCUUUCUUUCCUUUUUUUGUUGUUGUUUUUGUUUUUGUUUUUGUUUUAUUUAUUUGAGAGAGAGACGGCAUCAUUGGGGAGGGGAGAGGCAGUGGGAGAGAGAGAAGCAGACUCUGCUGAAUGUGAGACUUGAUCCCAGGACGCUGAGAUCAUGACCUGAGCCAAAGCCAGACAGUUAACAGACUGAGCCACCCAGCUGCCCCUCUCUGUUUUAUUUUUCGGUCAGAGACUCAAAUUCAUACCUGUUUUCUGCUUCUUGUCUGUCUCUGCCAUGAGGAGGUGAGCUGAGAUUCUCUCCCCACUGUUAGGACAGUACGGGCACCGGCUGGAGGCUCAGAGCAAUUUACAGGAUGAAGGGUAUAGAUUUGGCAAGAUGUCCUGGGCUCUGGUCAGGGACCAGGGUUGGGGAGAUAAGGAGGUUAUGCCAGGAGCCCGGCUCUGAGGAGUCCACAUGCUUCCCAUUGUGGGAGAGCAAACACCCUGGGUAUAUUUUUUUAAUUUUCUUUUUAAUUUUUUAAUUCAAAUUCAAUCGGCCAACAUAUACUAAGUACAUCGUUAGUCUCAGAUGUAGAGCUCAAUAAUUUAUCAGUUGCUUAGCACACCCCGUGCUCAUAUCACGUGCCCUCCUUACUUAAUGACUCUCAGACUGGGUGUAUUUAAAAAGGCAGGCAACAAAUGCUGGUUUCAGGUGCAAGCCUGGGGUUGGGCCUGGAGGAGGUGGUCCCAUACCUGGCCACGUGGCUCGAUGCCCAGGGAACUCGUUACAAAGAUGGCGACCUGAACUUCCCCUCCAGGAGCCGGUAGGAUGGGAGGGACUUUGGAUCCUCAGUGGUGAAAGAAGGCUUCCCAGAGGGGCUGUGUGGUGAACAGAGCCAGCAGGUACAUCUGGGGUUGAGGAGGAGAGGGUCACAGGGAAGGCUGGACACCUUCCCUUGUCCCAAGGGCAAGACCCCAGGGUGGAAUAUGGUAAGUGUUGGGGAGGCCCUGAAGAAAGGAAGCUGGGCAGAGUUCAGGCCCUCUGAGCUCCUCCCAGUCACCCCCUCCUCCUGGGAUAUCCACCAUCUACUGUCCCAGAUGCAGCUCUGCCCGUGGGCUCACAACCAGCUGGUAUCAGAGACCAGUUCACACCCUGCCUCCUACCCACUCCCAACAAGACCUGGGUCAGCUGUCAACCCCUGCUUCCCUACCUGGUAUGGUGAGGUGCUUCCUGCAGAGCACAGCUGACCCUCUGAACUGGGUUGCGGCCAUGGUCCUGCCAUAAAUUUGAGUGGCCAUAAGAAAGUUACUUAAGAAUC
Mustela lutreola (European mink) is the source of this 5403-nucleotide long non-coding RNA. RefSeq lists it as uncharacterized. The transcript is spliced from 3 exons. The record is from RefSeq and is a predicted model, not a curated record. NCBI's taxonomy places the organism in Eukaryota, Metazoa, Chordata, Mammalia, Carnivora, Mustelidae.